GACGAAGGGGGCUAGCGUUGCUCGGAAUCACUGGGCGUAAAGGGUGCGUAGGCGGGUCUUUAAGUCAGGGGUGAAAUCCUGGAGCUCAACUCCAGAACUGCCUUUGAUACUGAAGAUCUUGAGUUCGGGAGAGGUGAGUGGAACUGCGAGUGUAGAGGUGAAAUUCGUAGAUAUUCGCAAGAACACCAGUGGCGAAGGCGGCUCACUGGCUCGGUACUGACGCUGAGGUGCGAAAGCGUGGGGAGCAAACAGG
Molecule: ribosomal RNA, 253 nt
Filed under: uncultured bacterium
Lineage: Bacteria
Description: partial 16S ribosomal RNA
Rfam family: Bacterial small subunit ribosomal RNA
Source: RNAcentral